UAGCAAUACCGUGAGUAAAGUGGCGCACGGGUGAGUAACACGUGACUAACCUACCCUGGAGUGGGGGAUAACUGAGGGAAACCUUAGCUAAUACCGCAUAACACCUACGGGUCAAAGGAGCAAUUCGCUUCAGGAGGGGGUCGCGGCCGAUUAGUUAGUUGGCGGGGUAAUGGCCCACCAAGACGAUGAUCGGUAUCCGGCCUGAGAGGGCGCACGGACACACUAGAACUGAAACACGGUCCAG
RNAcentral lists this ribosomal RNA (244 nucleotides) under uncultured bacterium. Its description in RNAcentral is "partial 16S ribosomal RNA". It matches the Rfam family "Bacterial small subunit ribosomal RNA", at positions 77 to 334 of the family's 1533-position model. The record is from RNAcentral.